CACAAGCGGUGGAUGAUGUGGUUUAAUUCGAUGCAACGCGAAAACCUUACCCACCUUGACAUGGCAGGAAUCCUGAAGAGAUUGGGAGUGCUCGAAAGAGAACCUGCACACAGGUGCUGCAUGGCUGUCGUCAGCUCGUGUCGUGAGAUGUUGGGUUAAGUCCCGCAACGAGCGCAACCCUUGCCAUUAGUUGCUACGAAAGGGCACUCUAAUGGGACUGCCGGUGACAAACCGGAGGAAGGUGGGGAUGACGUCAAGUCCUCAUGGCCCUUAUAGGUGGGGCUACACACGUCAUACAAUGGCCGGUACAGAGGGUAGCCAACCCGCGAGGGGGAGCCAAUCCCACAAAGCCGGUCGUAGUCCGGAUCGCAGUCUGCAACUCGACUGCGUGAAGUCGGAAUCGCUAGUAAUCGCGGAUCAGCAUGUCGCGGUGAAUACGUUCCCGGGUCUU
Molecule: ribosomal RNA, 451 nt
Filed under: uncultured Allobrachymonas sp.
Lineage: Bacteria; Pseudomonadati; Pseudomonadota; Betaproteobacteria; Burkholderiales; Comamonadaceae
Description: bacterial SSU rRNA
Rfam family: Bacterial small subunit ribosomal RNA
Source: RNAcentral